ACACUGAAAAAAGUGAUUUUGGAGAGUGGUAAAUAUAAUCUGUGGAAACCAUAUAAAAUUUACAUGAUUAUUGCAGCCAGCCAACGAAUUCUAAAGUAAUGGGUAAAUUCUACAUAUGCUACCCAUUCGUCAACAGUAAGAACCAUCACAUAGAAAAUGCAGUAAAAUAUACCCCCAAACCGUGAGUUUUGUUGCUUUAAAUUGCGCAUGCGUCAGCCCGCGUUUUUGAGUGAGUGUGGGCGACGCUGGAUCCUCUCUCUGGCUGCCAUCGAACAGCAGAAGUGAAGGCAGAGUCUGUGUAUGUGGACACUCACUAUUUGCCCUCUCUUCAGUUCCUCUUGUCUGUCCUCCACAAGCAGAGACUCACUGAUAGACCACUGUUACCAGUUUUAGUGUUGACACAUCCACCCACGUCCCCACCACAAGUGUAUCCUGUACAGACACAGAACAUUGAGAAAAAAAGAGAUGCUGUUGUCUGCUGCCUCAUUAACUACCUCGGUGAAAGACAAGAAGAUCUUUUCCAUGACAGCCAGGAAUGUGAGGACUACACAGACAAAACGAUGAAGGUGAUUGUGAAGCACAAUGUCAUGGCUGAGGAGGAUCCAUCAGAUUUGUCUAUUGUGAUCGAGGGAAACCAAGUGAUGGAAGGAUGUGGAAGCCGAACAAAGGCAUGCAUACUGCUGUUGGGACUCAUUUAUGCAAUCAACAUCGAAUAUCCAAAGGAGCUGAAGAACACGUUUGAAGCUUUUCAAAAACUUUUUUUGGAAAUUGACGGGACAAAACUACUGAAAAAGGUCCACAGCCUCAAAAAUAAGCUCAUGCAGUAGACACACAUUUCCCCUGUUGUUCGAAGAGGAUCUUUUGUCUGGACAGACUUUUAAUGGAGUUGUAAUGGAGUGUAGUGUUUAUAUUUUUCUUCUUGUCCCUUAUUUGCUCCACACACAGACACAGAUCCAUCCACUCUCUCUCAGCCCACUCCAUUGCUCUGUGAUUUCGCCCAGAUUGACAGAAAAGGAAUACCAAUAGAAAGUGGCCUGAAGAAUUUUGAUCUCUCCUUCUACCCUCUUUCCCCCCCAUUUGAGAGUGAGAGCAAGCUCAAACUAAAGAAUGUUGGUGUUCUGUUUUAUCUUUAUCCAGAUACUUGAUACUGUACAUGCACAGAACCAACCAUGUGGAGUUUGUGUGUGCUUUUGAUUUUUAAAAUAGAAUAAGUGGCAUGUGUUGUUUGCAGUAGCCAAUUAUCCAGAAACAACAUUUGAAACUGUUAUCUUAGUGAGUUUUGAUUUGUGACCAGAUUUGGUCAGUCACUGUUGUGUAAAUCUGAAGAGACACAAAGAGUUUAGUCUAAGAGUUUAGAUACAAGAAAAUCUUAAUGUGAUUGGACAUCCAGCACUGCUCUGAUCUCCUCACUUCUCCUUUCAUUUUCUCUUCUCCCUUCUCUCCUCACUUCUCUUUUCCGCUCUGAUCUGGAUGUCCUAAAACAGGGAUAUGUUUCAUUAUCCAACAUUAUUGAAACAACAUUUGAUAGAUCAGUGGGUUAUAAAACAGGUUCAUUACUUGACAUGUUGUGUAAAGCUGUUGUGCUGCACUAUAUUUUGAGUGUUUCAUAGGAUUUUUUGGAUUAAAAACAUUGAUCUGAUGAA
Molecule: long non-coding RNA, 1643 nt
Organism: Cyprinus carpio (common carp)
Lineage: Eukaryota; Metazoa; Chordata; Actinopteri; Cypriniformes; Cyprinidae
Exons: 4
Source: RefSeq, a predicted model, not a curated record